Non-coding RNA from Lolium perenne, 1691 nucleotides. Lineage: Eukaryota; Viridiplantae; Streptophyta; Magnoliopsida; Poales; Poaceae. The record is from RefSeq and is a predicted model, not a curated record.
UCUUCCCGGAUAGGAUCACGAAGUGGUGUUGUGAGAUGCGACAAGUUCUCCGGAUGUCCCUCGGCAAGCUUUAAAAGGCAAGCAUUUCCCUAUACUCCUGUCCCUGCAGGAGUCGCUCACCUAUUUUAUUUUGCUUUCUCCCUCAUGCUAGCUUUAAGUUGCGUUCUUGUCACGUGUCCCUUCCACUUGUUACCUCAAGCAGCCCAUAUUACCUCCACCAACCACCUACAGCUAUUGUUUGGUUACCGGGUCUGCCUUGCGAGUCGUAGUGCAUGCUAGUGCUGUUUAUAUCGUGUUACCCUUAUCGCUAUCUUAUCGGGUUAUCUGUUGGGAGAUCAUGACACAUGCUACAUGUUUAUAUCUGUCGAGGGUAUCAUGGUUACUUGUUAAUAAUUGUUAGCGGAGACAUCGGUGGGUCAGCUGAUCGUUUUAUGACGGCUCACUUGUGUUUCUUUAAAGCUUAGGACCCGAGUUCCUGUUAUCUGUUCCAAGACUGAGCGCUCUAACCACACAUGGGUAUGCCUAUGGGUCUCCCCUCGACCACUGCCGGAAUCUACAGCUUUGUCCAGUGGCCACAACUAGAUUGUAACGUUUCCUUUUUGAUGCGUGCGUGCAAGCUUGUUUCCUUAUGUUACUUUUUGGGAAGCCUUAUGCCUUGUAUCCCUUUGUUCUUGUACGCACGUAUAGGUGGGAUACGAUGGUAAGCGGUAUCCGAAAGAGUGAGGUCAUUGGUCAUCUCCCCAGAGUGAGCUCUGAUCCAAUGUGCAUCUCCUAGGAACUGACUUAGCCGUAGACUCAAACAACUAAGUCCGCUUCGGAGAUACGGCCGGACUUCGAUUCGGGUUCAACUUGGUUAGGUGGCUUCCUGGACAUUGUUGUCGUGAAGGAGAGUGCGUGUCGUGAUAUCCUUCCCUUGCUAGGUUGGGUUGAUCGUGCGUGUGGGCACAUUUGGGCACCCCUGCAGGGUUAAAUCUUAUCGAUAAGCCGCGUCCGCGGUUAUGGACGACUUGGAGCUGUAUGACUCGACCAUAGACAACUUACACCUGUUGUUCAUUGAUAAUAACUUGCUUAGUAAGUUGGCACAACUUCAAUAAUAAAUGGUUAAAACUUGACAACCGUGUGAGUGCCUUUGUAAGUACUUCUUUGCGAGGGGGGAACGUAUCGGCUGUGUUAUGUUUGCAGAGUAUAGAACUGCUAGCUUAUGCGCUCUCUCAUCUUCUCUGAUUAGACGAAUGUUGUAGAGUGUCUCUAUAGGUUUUUAGUGCUUGCGCGCUGCCGCUCAACCCCACAAUAUUGCCUAUGACGUUCCUCUUGCGUCCUCUAAGUCCCCUGCGUGCCUCAAGUACAAAGGAUGACUGGUUGACGAAUGCUUAUACGUCUUGAAGUCUUGUUAAGUACGAACCCGUACUUAUUGCUGCUUCUACGGGACAUAACCGGGCAUGUAUGAAGAUAUGUUCGAUGAAGACGACGCUAGCAAGGUUACCCUUCCGGCUUGGCCUGGGCAGGGUUAUGGACGCCACUGAUUAUCUUCAGGACUCUUAGUCCAAUUUGUAUCUUGUCCGUACUCGGAUGUAUUUGAUCUUCUGUAUGAUUUGGAUCUUUGUAUGUAUAUUUGUAUCUUGACUCGUUGGAGUCGUUGUUGUAAUAUAUCUGUAUCUUGUGGGCUCUAUUGUAAUCCUGUUGUAAUGUUA